Molecule: microRNA precursor, 78 nt
Filed under: Schistosoma margrebowiei
Lineage: Eukaryota; Metazoa; Platyhelminthes; Trematoda; Strigeidida; Schistosomatidae
Description: mir-3492 microRNA precursor family
Rfam family: mir-3492 microRNA precursor family
Source: Rfam by way of RNAcentral
AGCCUUCUGUAUCCGUGCUGAGAUUUCUUCACACACCAGACAACAAAGACUGAUGGGACUCUCAAGAUAAGUAAAGUA